GAUGAACGCUGGCGGCGUGCCUAAUACAUGCAAGUCGAGCGAACGGACGAGAAGCUUGCUUCUCUGAUGUUAGCGGCGGACGGGUGAGUAACACGUGGAUAACCUACCUAUAAGACUGGGAUAACUUCGGGAAACCGGAGCUAAUACCGUAUAAUAUUUUGAACCGCAUGGUUCAAAAGUGAAAGACGGUCUUGCUGUCACUUAUAGCUGGAUCCGCGCUGCAUUAGCUAGUUGGUAAGGUAACGGCUUACCAAGGCAACGAUGCAUAGCCGACCUGAGAGGGUGAUCGGCCACACUGGAACUGAGACACGGUCCAGACUCCUACGGGAGGCAGCAGUAGGGAAUCUUCCGCAAUGGGCGAAAGCCUGACGGAGCAACGCCGCGUGGGUGAUGAAGGUCUUCGGAUCGUAAAACUCUGUUAUUAGGGAAGAACAUAUGUGUAAGUAACUGUGCACAUCUUGACGGUACCUAAUCAGAAAGCCACGGCUAACUACGUG
Molecule: ribosomal RNA, 497 nt
Filed under: uncultured bacterium
Lineage: Bacteria
Description: partial 16S ribosomal RNA
Rfam family: Bacterial small subunit ribosomal RNA
Source: RNAcentral